GACAGUGAACGCCCCCCUGUACUUUUCUGUUGGAGAGACGACCGGAGAGGUCAGCUCAAGAUCCGUGCUGUAUGCAGACCAGACAGAUAACCAGUACAUUGUGAAUAACUUGGUCAUGGAUAAGACUUAAAGCUACCCUCUCACAGCUGAGAGUUCAGGCCUAUGACACAAAGUACCGGGAUCAGAUCGCAGAGUCCAUUGUCAGCAUUUCGGUUACACGUAACAAGAAUGGUCCGGAGUUCCUACAGUCACCAUAUCGAGUCACCAUAAACGAGACAAUCAGCCUUGGUUCAUGCAUUAUCACUGUGUCAGCUGAGAACAACGAUGGCAUGACAGUAGUUGGCAAUGACAACAGUAACCCUAGCAAGACGGCCUUCGUGGAGGCUUUCAUCACUGUUGUCUGUGACCAGUUCCCUCCCUUCUUCUUGAACACACCAUAUUCUGUUGUCUUGAGUAUGGAGCAAUUGGAGCACAGGUCUUUAAUGUCAAUGCUACUGACAAUGACCUUGUGUUCACCUUCCGUGCAUGUGACAAUGGACUGCCGCAGAGAUGUGCCAACAGAAUGGGAACCAUAACAGUGACGUGAAAUGCCUUCCCACCUGUGUUCAGUAAUGUACCGUACUAUCGAGUAAUUGCCGAGACAACUGCCAUUGGCACCACAGUUUUGAGACCAGAUCUGAGACCUUGUAUUUGAGGCCAUCUCAACGAGAUAUCCCUUCGAGGUUAAUAGACUCUGUAAGCAGCGCUGUUACCUUACAAUAUGACAACCUUUACUACGGACCUGCUGCAUACUCGAGCAGCAGAGCUGUACAUCACUGGAUGUGAAUGGUGUAUGCAGCUAUAUAUAUGCCAGCCUGCUGAAGGAAAUAUCAUGAUCACCUUUCCAACGCCAAGAUCUGUGGUCAAGUCCAUGCGAUUGGUUGGUUGUAUGGAGGAAGCACUACAAACGGGGAAAAUGGGACCUCUGGUGUCACCUACAUAAAGGAGGACAGAUAUAGAAGGACAUGCUGUUCGAUAUUCAGAACCAUCGCAUCAUACAAGAAGGUUACCCUAUCAGCCAAUGCAAGAGUCAUUGUCUGCUGUGAUGCCAACAGACACAAGGGCUGCAUCUCUAACCUAGCACAGCAGAUACAGUUUCUAAAAAAUAACCUUAAGAGCUUUUCUGAGGUGAUCUUCAAGCAAAGACUGGACUGAGUUGAAGGGUAUCCAGUUUGUACAUUUGGUCAAAACUGACUGGUGUGAGUUUGGACCGGUUCUGCUGCUGGCUGUAUUGUAUGUUAGGUACAAAUCUAUUCCUGCCUGACGUCCUCAACUAUGUUCCAUCUGUAGAUCAACGAUUUCUCUUAUAGUUGCUGACAUUUGCUGACCGCUAUAAGUAUCGAUUGAGUACAUCCAGGAUUAUGUAUACAGUUUUCUUGCCGUACCUUGGUGGUGAUGAACAACAUCAGGUGAAGACUAGCACAGUUGAUGCAUCUGUAGAAAUGCGCUGAUGGGUGUUACAUGUAACUAACAUUAUACUGCAAUGAGCAGUGGAGUGCUCUCAGAAUUGGAACCAUCAACUCAGGCUUGACUAAGUAUAUUUAAUACAUGAUCCUCUCAAUGAAGACAGCCUGAGACAGCUGCAGGUCAACCUGUUCCAAUAAUGCUGGAGACAACUACAGAUGAGCUAGAGACAGCAGAAGAACCGGAUGAGGUAUAUGGAGAGCUUGAACAGUCCGAGGCAGCUGCAGUUGAACCUGUUCAAGUAACGCUGGAGACAACUACAGAUUAACUAGUUACAACAGAAAACCAAGGCGGGGUGUGUUGAAAGCAUGAACCUGUUUAAGUAACGCUGGAGGUGCUGGUAGAUGAGCUAGAGAUAUCUGAAGACCAAUGUGUGCUACGUGGAGAUCAUGAACAGUUGGAGACAGCUGCAGGUGAACUUGUUCAAGUAAUGUUAGAGACACCUAUAGAUGAGCUAGAGACAUCAGAAGACUAUAGGUGGGUGGAUGCAAGUGGUGAAAAUUUAGAAGAAAUCAACUCACUUCAAGGCAGCUCCAUUCCAGAUGAUGACUGCAUUAGAAAUUAAAUACUUGUAUUUGUGUGUUAUCCAAUGAUAAGUGAUAUAUAUUUAAUUUGCUUGAUUGAUUGGUUUGUUUGGCUGUGUGUUUGUGCAACAAUAUUUAUCCAUACAUUUGCAUUUCAUCAAUAGUUGUACAUCUACAAAACAAUGAUCUUUAUUAAUUAUAUCAAAUAUUAUUAAGAUGUUGAUUAAAGAAUCAACGGUUUAGAAACA
This is a long non-coding RNA of Mya arenaria, 2275 nucleotides long. RefSeq lists it as uncharacterized. Lineage: Eukaryota; Metazoa; Mollusca; Bivalvia; Myida; Myidae. The record is from RefSeq and is a predicted model, not a curated record. The transcript has 10 exons.